AUUGAACGCUGGCGGCAUGCCUUACACAUGCAAGUCGAACGGCAGCACGGGAGCUUGCUCCUGGUGGCGAGUGGCGAACGGGUGAGUAAUACAUCGGAACGUACCCUGAAGUGGGGGAUAACGUAGCGAAAGUUACGCUAAUACCGCAUAUUCUGUGAGCAGGAAAGAGGGGGAUCGCAAGACCUCUUGCUUUAGGAGCGGCCGAUGUCGGAUUAGCUAGUUGGUGAGGUAAAGGCUCACCAAGGCGACGAUCCGUAGCGGGUCUGAGAGGAUGAUCCGCCACACUGGGACUGAGACACGGCCCAGACUCCUACGGGAGGCAGCAGUGGGAAUUUUGGACAAUGGGCGCAAGCCUGAUCCAGCCAUGCCGCGUGAGUGAAGAAGGCCUCGGUUGUAAG
This 398-nucleotide ribosomal RNA is filed under the name uncultured bacterium. RNAcentral's name for it is "bacterial SSU rRNA". It matches the Rfam family "Bacterial small subunit ribosomal RNA", at positions 30 to 429 of the family's 1533-position model. The record is from RNAcentral.